Molecule: long non-coding RNA, 998 nt
Filed under: Homo sapiens (human)
Lineage: Eukaryota; Metazoa; Chordata; Mammalia; Primates; Hominidae
Description: HSALNT0005755
Source: RNAcentral
GCAGGCUCUUCCUACUCGCACAGCCCAGGGAGUGGGGAGGAUAAGGCGCUGUCAUGGAGGACGCCGCCGCGCCGGGGCGGACCGAGGGGGUCCUUGAAAGGAGCCCUGGUGGAGCUCACCCCGACCCCCGGCGGCCUGGCCCUGGUGAGCCCCUACCACACCCACCGGGCCGGGGACCCCUUAGACCUCGUGGCGCUCGCAGAGCAGGUGCAGAAGGCUGAUGAAUUCAUCCGAGCAAAUGCCACCAACAAGCUGACAGUCAUAGCUGAGCAAAUCCAACAUUUGCAAGAACAAGCCAGGAAGGUACUGGAAGAUGCUCACAGAGAUGCCAACCUGCACCAUGUAGCUUGUAAUAUAGUGAAAAAACCUGGCAACAUUUACUAUCUCUAUAAACGGGAGAGUGGUCAGCAGUAUUUUUCCAUCAUUUCUCCAAAGGAAUGGGGGACAAGUUGUCCACAUGACUUCCUUGGUGCCUACAAACUACAGCAUGACUUGUCCUGGACUCCGUAUGAGGACAUUGAGAAGCAAGAUGCUAAAAUCAGCAUGAUGGACACGUUGCUAAGCCAGUCAGUGGCCCUGCCUCCGUGCACUGAACCCAACUUCCAGGGACUGACUCACUGAGAGUGGGCUUUGACAAACAGCUCUCACAGGACCUGGCUGUCAACCUCCUUGUUGCCCCCACUGUUGCCUUGAGAAUUGAAGACAUGUAGGUGACUCACAAACUUCUUGGAAAGAGACCCUGUGUGAAUGUAAAUGCUGUCAUUAUGACUUUUAAUUGGGAUGGGAAUAAUCAUUGAGACAGAGUCACUGUCUUUCGGGAUCCUCUUUGGACCACAGAUACCCAAGUCAGUCAGUUUCAGAGUAUUGGCCAGUGUACUUUCCUUCUUCCUCUCCAUCACUUCUUCCCUUAAGUUAAAGUGUUAGAGAAGACCUUCUUCCCAUAAAAAGGUUGGUGGAUCGUUUUCCAGAGAGAACUGUUUUCAGUCUUUUAUAUAUAU